UCCCGGUUGGCCCGGGCGGUCUCGUGUGAAAAAUACAACACACGACAAGGGUUGCGCUCGUUGCGGGACUUAACCCAACAUCUCACGACACGAGCUGACGACGGCCAUGCAGCACCUGAACCGGCGGCCCCCGAAGGGGAAACCUCAUCUCUGAGGCGGUCCACCGUUGUCUAGCCCAGGUAAGGUUCUUCGCGUUGCGUCGAAUUGAACCACAUGCUCCACCGCUUGUGCGGGCCCCCGUCAAUUCCUUUGAGUUUCAGUCUUGCGACCGUACUCCCCAGGCGGGGUACUUACUGCGUUAGCGGCGGCACCGGGAGGGUCGUUCCCCCCGACGCCUAGUACCCAUCGUUUACGGCGUGGACUAC
RNAcentral lists this unclassified non-coding RNA (365 nucleotides) under uncultured bacterium. Its description in RNAcentral is "contains 16S-23S intergenic spacer region". The record is from RNAcentral.